Long non-coding RNA from Scophthalmus maximus (turbot), 6838 nucleotides. RefSeq lists it as uncharacterized. The record is from RefSeq and is a predicted model, not a curated record. The transcript has 6 exons. NCBI's taxonomy places the organism in Eukaryota, Metazoa, Chordata, Actinopteri, Pleuronectiformes, Scophthalmidae.
ACACAGCGUCUGGUUGAUACAAGUUUGUAACAAAGCCUCUGAUUGGUCAAGUGGAUCAAACAUGGACAACUAGAAGUCCGCGAACAACAACAGUAAUCUUUUACGUCUUGAAAAACGGGAUAAAAAUGAUCAUUUAAGUCAUUCAAUGUUGGAUUUAUCAUCGUGGACGUGUUGUACAAAGACUCCGAAGAGACACUGAAGUUCCAGGGGCACUACAAAUCUCCUGAAAGGGCCACGAACGACGCAAGUGUUAGCUUCCCGUCCAAACAAACCCUCCACGAAGGUCUGCACCUGUGCUGUGGCGCCGAGCUAAAGUUUCGACUCUGAACAACAAAGUGGACGCAAGGAAGGAAAAAGACAGUCUGGGAAAAAGGUGUCAUUGACCGGCAGACAACUUUUAGAUUCCCGCCCUCUCGUCAAGAAACAAAUGGGUCAGUGAUAUGCUCAUUAAGGUCCCGACACAUCCGAAACAAUUCAUGAACUGUGAACCAUAAAGCGCUCGUUGGAGCACACGAUAUGAAUAUGCAAUAGGGUGGUCAAUUGAUAUGUGCUGAAGGGGAUCAAUACGGUCGACAUGCACGAGGUCUGGGUUUUAUUUUCUCACAGGGAUCAAGGCUUCGCAAUUGUCGGCGCGUCGAUGAUCACAAACACAAACACAGCCUCAUUGACUUGUGAUUGAUCUGUUACAUCACACUGGAGGCAGAGCUCGACAGCUCCUUACAUAUAAAGUCGUUGACACUCCAGAGCUUGUUACGUGUACCCAGGGUCACAAUGAUCAAUGGUUUUCAUUACAGUUAAAUCCAAUAGUUUUUUUUCCGGAAUGAUUUAUCGUUCAGGGUAUGAAGUGUCUAAAAAUAGUCAGAAGUUCCAAUCAGAAGUGCAGACCAAGGCGCAAUCUUCAAAUUCCCAUAUUGUGUGUGAACUGCAGUGAUAAAUAUUAACACCACCACGUUCCACUGUUAUAUCUCCUCCAAAACCACGUCAAGGAUACCGAUUGUCCCCAGAGAAUCCUCUUAUUUAGCGCCACCAGCUGGUUGAAUUGUUCACUUAUGGCAAUUUGUACUUUGUCAAAACACUUUGGUUUAUGACCGAACCAAAUUAUCUACAAAACUUGAUGGGAUUCCCAUGAGCCUGAGCUGCACUUUGUGUGUAGUGAUUAUUAGCAAAUAUUAAUACGCUGAGACAACAAACUAAAAUGGUGUCCAAUAAUUUCCUAGCGAUUGAUGGAUGUAUCCGUUGACCAGUGGUUUUGGCACAUUUGCAUAACGAACACAAUUAGAUGAGCAUUUUACAGUAUAAAAUUUUAUUUUACAGCAAGGCUCUACACAUUCCCUGUGUAGAGCCUUGCUGUGGAUUUAUUAUUUAUGCUAAAAUGGUCAGAAACACUUCAGUGGCUAUUCAAAUUUGUCUUAUAUAUAAUGAUUAGCUCUUAUUCAUCGCAGCGUGUGGAGAACAUCUUCGUCUUCAUGGGUAAAAACAUAAUCCUGCAUGAUAUCCCAUUCAAGCAGCCAUAACAGAGAUACACAGGAGAAUGAAAACAGUCAACAGAGAAGAGGUAAAAAAUAAUGAACUCUUUAAUAAAAAAUACAUUUAUAAAUUCGGCAGCAUUGACUUCUCUUGACCAUUUCCGUCAACCCAGGAGGAGAGAAAUGAGGGAAACCAGCUGUACAGUAGCUAUUCAAAAUAAACCACAUCCUGGGUAGCAAACACACGUAGAAGUGACAGAGAAAUGGCAAGUUGGCAAGUAGGAAGAACAGCGGAAACAAGAGAGACGGGAACGUUUCUGGUGGAGUGUUCCUGGCAAACAAAGACCAAAACAGAACUGUUGAACUGAAACCAACAUUUUUUUUUUUCCUACAUCAGUGUCGACACCACAAACAGGACAGCGUUGCUUUGGGUUGAUCAUUAACACCAUGAGGUUCGGUCAUUCUAAUACAACUACAGCAGCUUGGUAUGAAGACAAACAGCACAUCGACUUGUCCCGACUCACUGAAGUGAGAGCAUAGUGAGAGCGACUGCGGAUCAGUGUUUAACGAACACCUCUUCCUGGUCUGGGGAGGAAAACGGAGUCACCACCACUUUAUACUGAAAACCGUGUGCAUGUGAUCACUAGGAUACAUCAGGACAGAGAUGAAGGCUCACAGAUAUUCUCAUGACUGGGUGGCGCUGACGGGUGGACAGACUGGGAGGUCACAGGUUCUACAGCAGCCUUUAUCGCACACAGGAGGAAGCUUUGACUGGUUUUCUAAAAAAUCUGUCCUGCUCAUGCUUUAGUCGUUUGUUUUUUGUGUGUGUGUUUUGUUUUGAAGCCUCUUAAUACACUCGGGCGGGACUUGUUGUGGCUCGGGAGUAGCUUCUUCUGAGGCCCCGCCCGGUGAAGUUCCUGCCCACACAGAUUGUGCUCAGACGUGCCACAUACUGGGGGUGUUUGGGGACAUAUGGAGGGGUUAGUUGGCUUGGAGCGAAGCCAUGGCAACACAUGUGGCCAUAGACGUUUAUAUGGUAAUUACAUAGAUGGGGACCAGUUGGCAAAAAGAGGAUUGUUUUUAACAUUUGGUCAAAGCACGUGCAAUGCCUUUUAUUGCCCUUUCUUUCACCAGAGUCCUCAAAUAUUCAGUGCAUCUGACAUAAAAAAGCUAUUGACUGCGUUUUAAACCCUUCAUUGCUCACGUCCAGCAGCAACUUCACCCACAGCUGACGUGUCGGAGAAGUGCGGAAGUAUUGCCCCUGAAGCUGCUGACCAAAAUAUCACGGCUGCGGUUCGUAAAGUGAUGAUUAUGGGACAGGACCUGUGCCUUGGGAUGAAAUCUCACUAUGUUUAUGUUAUUUGCUGACAACGUAGUCUGGAAACAUGCAGGAAAUAUCAAGCCGGCGGGAGUUUUCUGCUGAGUUCUUUGUGGACAAAGUGCUUAGAGGGAUGGAAUAUGAUAAAGGUGGCAUCUGGAGUCUCUGGCUGUGUUGCGACAGUGACAGAUCAGGGGCUGGUUUCACAAAGAUAUUUUAGACCAGUGUUAACUGUUCGGCCUGUCUUAGAUUAGUCUCAUGUAUUUUUGACGGUUUAACAACUUACUUUAAGCCUUAAACGUUAUAGCCACUAAGAACUAGGAGCCUCGUUGACAACGGCUGACCUGUCAAAAAAAAAGGAAAACAUGGCUUAUAAUUUGCAUUUUGUUAACAAUGCUUUGGUGCAACUCAUUCUGAAAAAUUUGCAGAAUGCGGCUAACAGGAUGGAAGUGAGCAGCAGUGACGUCCUGCGGAGUCCUGCCAUACAGACAUGGAGGAACCACAGCAGCUCAGCUCCAGGUCUGCACUGCUGCCAGCUCUUAUUCUACUUGAGCCUUUUUUUGUGUCGUUACAUUCUUUGCUGGAUUUUCCGAGUAAAGUGUCGUCGUAACCGUAGAGUUCUUGCAGAAAGAUGAUAUAUAUGCCGCAGUGAGGGGAGCUGUGCGAUUUGACGGGUUUGAAAAAAACAAAACAAAAUGUGAUUUACCCAGAUUUCUUGGACAAUUAAACAUUCUAGUUGUGUCGAGAACUGCACAGCUUUGUGUAAUUGAUGAAUUCUCUCUGGCGUCUGUUGAUGACUUUGAUUUCUGCUGCUGUCAAAGUCCAUCUCUGUGAAACUGGUCCCAGUAUUUAAUUAAAUACAGUCAUUUCUGAAGUUGCCUGCCCAGUCAUGGAAAUGUCAGUCUUCUCAAAUCCCUAAGCAUUGUGUUAAAAUAUAUAUGAAGAUAAUAGUUUUCUAAAUUUUUGUUCACAAAUAGAGUAAAUGUCUCUUUGUAAAUGGUAUAAUGUUUUUUACCCUCCGAGUAUAAAUUAGACAGUUUUGUGGCGAAUCUGGGACAAACUUAUUCUCUUCUGUUUCCAUUCCUUCUCUUGACUCAGGUCAACGCUGGACUGGUGUAACUUUCGAUUCUAAGCACAGUGUGUGCAGUACUACGUUGGCGACUUCCCUUAUUUAAGUAUAAAAUGCACAGACAAUCUUCAUUAUCAUAUUCCCACACGUCUUAAUAACAGUCAACGGGCAAAACGAUUCCCUGCAAUGAAACCUGUGAGGCCAGUUCAUUACAAAUGUGCUUUGUAAAUUGUUGUGCACGGAUGAGGUGGAAGUACUUUAUGAAUUAUUUCUAACACGAUCGCUUCAAGUGGCGAUGCAGAUCCUACAGCUGCAGCACAGGGUGCUGAUAUCUCAUGACCAUAAAUGUUCAUACACUGUUCAGUAUUCAGGUUCAGUUGUGACCGUGAUCAGCAAGUGUGAUCCCGGAUUUCAGUCUUCGACACAAAACCUUUUUUAGAAAGUGCUACUGUGUAUAUUGUGCUCGUCGUCUCGCUGUGCCUUCUUCAGAUUCACUCCCAGCCUGGCUGUUUAAUGACAUUGAAAAAAGGAAAAAAGUUUUUGAGUAUCUCUCCGCAGUUGGUCAUCAGUGUAAGAGCGGCAGUGAUGACUGACAGUGUGGUAGCACCCAGAGUCUGUGACGGAUCUGUUUGAGGGACCUGUUUCAAGCGGACUCUUUUUUCCCCACUUUGAAAAGAUGGUGGAUGGCAGUCGGCAACUUUUAAAUAAGUGCAACAUUGACAUAUCUUUAAGACCAGAGUUAAAAUAUGACCGCAAUGUGUCUUUUUUUUUUCCUGCAUCCAUGGUAGGUAUGAAUAGAACCAUAAUGAAUUUGGUAUUUUGUGCUUGUUCGGAGAACACUCCUCUGAUUGAAGGUUUGACUGAAGCAUCAAACUGAAAGGGUCAGGAGCAGAAUCGCCUCCUCUGAUGUUUUACUGACGAUGAGGAUCCAAUCAGAGCUCUGCAGCUGGAGAUCUCUGUCACCGUCUGCAAACAAAAAAAAGAUUUACAUUAGAUUCCCUAAAUUAACAUGAAUGAUAUUGACAUUUAUUUGGAAGAACAACUGUUAAUUUUGAGGCUUUUAAGGUGAGAAACUUUAGAUUAAAAAUAAUUUCCAUACUUUUUAUUUUUCUAUACAACAUUUGAACAAAGCAGAAAACGUUCUCAGUCUAGCAACCACAUAUGAGCCGUAGCCUCAUAAAGAAAACACACCAGUGUGCUUAUUGCGUCACACUGCUGCCUGUCUAUCGCUGCAUAUGUCUGCUGUUAACUUCUUGAUAAACUGGCAGCAAUAUUAUAUUUGCAGGAGGGAAAAUAUCCAGCAGUUAAGACCAAUUAGGAAGCAGAUUUGAAUGGUAUUGUUUCUGAAUCAACCCUCAUAUCAGAGUGUGGGGCUCAAUGAGCUUUAUCUCUCACAAAGACAAAAGCGCCACAGACUCGAGAUCAAAUAUCUGGACCAAGUUUUAAAUGUUGAUUCGAGGCUCUGGGUGCUAAAAUAAUAAUAAAGACGACAGAUGGAGAGUCACUGCUGGGCAGCAAUAGCAGAGUAAAGUCUAUUAUUUUAUUAUUUUCUGUGGGAAGCCUUGACCUGUAAAAUGACUAUAGAGCACUGAACUGUACCUCUGCCUUGUAGAUCCAUAGUUAUCUAACAUGUGAGUGCUGGCCACCUCCAGGUUCCAGUCACACAUCUCCAGCAGCUUGAGACACUCUGACCUGCUCCUCAGACCCAAACAGAACAACUGCUCCACCUGCGGAGACAAACAAAUGUCUGACUGUCGUACAAAGACGCCGGGAGCGAGGGAGGGAGGGAGGGAGGUUGGGACAGAAGGCUCACGGGGGGAGUUACUGUAUUAACAGGGUUCCCACACAUUUUCUAUUUCAAAAUUCCAUAAUUUUUCUACCCUGACAUAUUUGACAUCCAAGUACAAAUAGCUAGAUGUUCAAAUCCAACUCUUAACAUAUUACAUUAUGACUGUGUAGCUGUUAUGUUGCACACGUGAAAGUCACGGUUUCUGUGCAUAUGCAGAUUUUUAAUGAAAUAUUGAUACUUCCAAUUCCGACAUUACCUGUUCUAGGACUGAUUCUCAUAUUAGAAUAUUGAUAUUUAAACUCUUAGUAGAACCUUAAUGCCUCUGUUCAAACACUCCUGUUGCAUAGUUUGAGACCUCUGCGUUGCAUUUUUCUUUCUCUUAUAAACUUUGCCGCCACUCGAGUGUUCCCUUGUGUGGCUCCCAUUCGACUGCCUCCAUCCACCACCUUUGCCGGCCAGACUGCAGCCAGUUAUCAGGGAGCUGAAGUCUGCUGUAUACACAUCAGUAUUGCACAGCCUUCUGGACGUUCCAGUUGUGGAGGGCAGCUUGGCACUCCUCUAUCGUGACACCGUGAACUGCAUCCUGCACCUGGAUCAUACAACAACCGUCUGUGUGGGCCGAGUGCCGCUAAGAUCCAAACCCAGAACAUCAGGAGGAUCCAUGGGAUUCCCGAGGUACAGCCUGGAGAGAGGAGAGCGACAAACUUCAUUACAGAUAAUGGAAGCCCCAGCAGCGGCGAGGGUUGGAGUCUCCGUGUCCUGUGUGGAUGAAGCUGUUCUUCAGCGGCCGGCUGAUAUCAUGAGCUGACAAACCCGCCACUGAUGUCACCACAUUUCUGGGGAACUGUCCGACUUUGAGAGUGCGCUUGUUUUGACCUCGCCACCAGUAGUUCUCCGCCCUGAGAGACGGAGAUAGUGAGGAUGAGACAGGAUCAACCACACUUUUUGACAUUGGGUGUCGGGGGUGAAAUGUGUACAUCUGCAGGGGACAUCAAAUAAUCAGACUGGACAUUAAGUAACCUGACAGUCACACUAUAGUGCAUUUAGUUUAGUAGAAAUUCUUCAACUAAUUAAUGAGGUUUGCAAGUCGAAAUAUCUUUAAAGGUCACUUUCCAUCUUGUUUUUUUUUUACUUUAAAACAACAUUCAUCAGUAGUGAGGUUGGAAAUAAGGUUUAUUAAACAACUAUUAAACUCA